RNAcentral lists this ribosomal RNA (253 nucleotides) under uncultured bacterium. RNAcentral describes it as "partial 16S ribosomal RNA". It matches the Rfam family "Bacterial small subunit ribosomal RNA", at positions 524 to 776 of the family's 1533-position model. The record is from RNAcentral.
UACGGAGGGGGCUAGCGUUGUUCGGAAUUACUGGGCGUAAAGCGCGUGUAGGCAGCUCGGAAAGUCGGGUGUGAAAGCCCUGGGCUCAACCUAGGAAGUGCACUCGAAACUUCCGAGCUGGAGUGCUGGAGAGGAAGGCGGAAUUCUCGGUGUAGAGGUGAAAUUCGUAGAUAUCGAGAGGAACACCGGUGGCGAAGGCGGCCUUCUGGACAGUUACUGACGCUGAGACGCGAAAGCGUGGGGAGCAAACAGG